UACGAGGGGGGCAAGCGUUGUUCGGAAUUAUUGGGCGUAAAGGGCGCGUAGGCGGUGCGGUAAGUCACCUGUGAAAUCUCCGGGCUCAACUCGGAGCCUGCAGGCGAAACUGCCGUGCUUGAGUGUGGGAGAGGUGCGUGGAAUUCCCGGUGUAGCGGUGAAAUGCGUAGAUAUCAGGAGGAACACCGGCGGUGUAGACGGCUCUCUGGACCGUAACUGACGCUGAGACACGAAAGCGUGG
RNAcentral lists this ribosomal RNA (241 nucleotides) under uncultured prokaryote. RNAcentral describes it as "partial 16S ribosomal RNA". It matches the Rfam family "Bacterial small subunit ribosomal RNA", at positions 524 to 764 of the family's 1533-position model. The record is from RNAcentral.